CAAGUCGAACGGUUCCAGCAAUGGGACAGUGGCGAACGGCGGAGUAAUACGCGAGCAACGUGCCACGAAGACCGGGAUAGUCGGCCGAAAGGCCGGGUAAUACCGGAUGUGGCGUUUUUUACACCUGUAUGAGACGUUAAAAGGUUUUUCGCUUCGGGAGCGGCUCACGGCCUAUCAGGUAGUUGGGGAGGUAACGGCUCACCAAGCCGACGACGGGUAGCGGGUCUGAGAGGAUGGUCCGCUCGAGUGGGACUGAGACACGGCCCACACACCUACGGGUGGCAGCAGUUGGGAAUCUUGCACAAUGGGGGGAACCCUGAUGCAGCGACGCCGCGUGGAGGACGAAGGGUCUAGGCCUGUAAACUCCUUUUCCCCGGAAAGACUUAGGACGGUACCGGGGGAAUAAGCACCGGCUAACUACGUGCCAGCAGCCGCGGUAAGACGUAGGGUGCAAGCGUUGUCCGGAUUUACUGGGCGUAAAGCGCGCGUAGGCGGCUCGUUAAGUGUGAAGUGAAAUCCCGGGGCUCACCCCCGGAACUGCUUUACAUACUGGCGGGCUUGAGGGAUGCAGAGGUCUAUGGAAUUCCCGGUGUAACGGUGAAAUGUGUUGAUAUCGGGAGGAACACCCAUGGCGAAGGCAGUAGACUGGGCAUCACCUGACGCUGAGGCGCGAAAGCGUGGGUAGCAAACAGGAUUAGAUACCCUGGUAGUCCACGCCCUAAACGAUGGAUACUAGGCGUCGGGGGUAUCGACCCCCCCGGUGCCGCAGCUAACGCAUUAAGUAUCCCGCCUGGGGAGUACGGCCGCAAGGUUGAAACUCAAAUGAAUUGACGGGGACCCGCACAAGCGGUGGAGCAUGUGGAUUAAUUCGAUACUAACCGAAGAACCUUACCCACGCUUGACAUCGAUGGCAAGCCUCA
Molecule: ribosomal RNA, 920 nt
Filed under: uncultured Pseudomonadota bacterium
Lineage: Bacteria; Pseudomonadati; Pseudomonadota
Description: bacterial SSU rRNA
Rfam family: Bacterial small subunit ribosomal RNA
Source: RNAcentral